UUACUAAUUUGUUUUCUUUAAUUUACGGUAUAUUUGUACGACAAAUUUACAAAAAAAAAAGAAAAAAAAAACUAUUUUAUUUAUAGUUAAAUAUUAUGCAAAGUCAAAAUACCUGGUACGUGGCAACCCCAAAUCCUUCAUGUUGGCUCAUGAUACAGGUCAUCUCUCUCUUAAGUCUCUCAAAUCCUUCAGAGAUAAAAGGAGAAAAGAGAGAGAGAGUUCUCAUUGUUUCUCUGGAAAAUUUUCCAGCGCUUUGUUUACUCAGCGUAGUGGAUAACAGUUUUGGAAUGUGGUUUCUUAUGCAUGGUGUGCCUGGUUUUUGGCUCUGGAAGCUCUCAUGUUCUCUUGGUGCUGAUGUUCGGCUUUUGGUACCAGUGAAUCACAUCUCUUCGUGGUGAUUCAUUGGCACUUGGUUCCGGCGAUUUCGAUCAUAGUGUCUUUUCUGAUGGUGUCGUCUGGCUCUUUUCCGGGUUAAUUCGGGUUUCUUUCUAAUCUUCGCUUCAGACUAUUUUGGUUCAUUUAUUCUUUUGUUUUGAAGCAUGCAGUUGGAUCUCUACAAAGUGAAGGUCGAUUUGGCUAGGGUUUUAGCUCCUUUAGUGUUUCUCUUUUUGGUUUUAUUCUUGGUUUCGACAGAUUGAGUUUUCUGGUGGUGGAAAUCCGACGGCUAAAGUCUCAUAUUUUAUUUUGUCUUUUUUGACUAAAGUUGUCUCGACGGUUCUCCUUUCUUGAGAUCAGUAUCUUUGGUGGAUCGACAAAAAGCUGCUCCGGCGGCAAUUUUCAAAUGGUGAUGACGGUGGCCGACCGUUGUGACGCGUGUCUCCUCCUUUACCGAGGUCCACGCACGUGCGACUGCGAGGUUGACCAGCUCAUAUAAUCCCGAGAGAAACUGAAUCGACCCAUCUAAUUAAAUUUGUUCGGACAGAAUCAUGGUCAUGCAUUAAUUGUGUCUACAACUCUUAUGUAUUCAGGUCAAUGGCAUUAAAUGAUAGUGUU
Molecule: long non-coding RNA, 993 nt
Organism: Brassica napus (rape)
Lineage: Eukaryota; Viridiplantae; Streptophyta; Magnoliopsida; Brassicales; Brassicaceae
Exons: 2
Source: RefSeq, a predicted model, not a curated record